UUUUUUUUUUUUUUUUUUUCAAAGUCAUUAGGGAUAUCAUUCGAACAGAAGGGUAUGUAUGCAAAAUACACUACAAGGACUAAGCCCAAGCACCGUAUUGUUUCAGUCUCGAAGUAAUUCUAUGUACCCGUGCAUUGGAGAUGCGUUUAAUUAACAUGGUGCGAUUGGACUUGAGUGAGCUGACAGCACUGUAUGAGGGUCUGUUUGCCAAGAUUCAGGACUUGUUGAAAGAGUUAUUACAACUACAACUAUAACUAUAACUACAACUAUAACUACAACGAUAAGAACUAUCACUACUCUGAAGACAACGAUGUGUUUUCUCAAGAUGAUAACGGAUCUAGCUUCGCCAUCAAUAAGUAUGAGACAAAGGAGUCCAUCUUUGAUGAAACAUCCAUUUUCCUGUUGUACAUUUUUGCAGGACAACUAGCCUGAGCACAAGAGACAUGGUGUACUAGACCUUGUGCGGAAUGUCUACUUCAAAACUUGCAUCUUUAUAUCUGAUAUAUAGAGAUAUAGAGAUAUAGAGAUAUAGAGAUAUAGAGAGAGGCUGAUGAUUUAUAAACACAAACGAUAAGACUUGUAACAUGAAGUUUAUCGAAAAAGUCAAUCUUUAAAUUCCUUUCUGAACCUCUCUGUUAUGUCAGUGCUUCGGNACCAUGCUUUUUAGUGCGGGUCAUUUAAAAGGNNUAGCGAUGAUAGUUCUAAAGUUACUGGAUUNGAUCNAUUGGGAAGAACNUCCNAAAAAAAAAAAGGCAUGCNAAAUGCUAGUAUUAUCNGUAACCGCGCAAUUAACAAANGAUAACCAAAAAUUUNCNGGAUCUUUCCAAGAAAAGAAAAAACNNGAAAAUAUUUGGGA
RNAcentral lists this small RNA (856 nucleotides) under Schizosaccharomyces pombe (fission yeast). Its description in RNAcentral is "small heterochromatic RNA precursor". The record is from RNAcentral. Lineage: Eukaryota; Fungi; Ascomycota; Schizosaccharomycetes; Schizosaccharomycetales; Schizosaccharomycetaceae.